UUAAUAAUUUAUAUAAAAUAUUUUGAUGAAUAUUUAUAUAAUAUUAACAUAAUUCAUAUUACUAUAUAUUUUAGUAUAUGAAAUUUUACUUUGAGAAAAUUAGAGUGCUUAAAGCAGGCAUAUGCCUUGAAUACUCCAGCAUGGAAUAAUAUUAAAGAUUUUUAUCUUUCUUAUUGGUUCUAAGAUAAGAAUAAUGAUUAAUAGGGACAGUUGGGGGCAUUUGUAUUUAACAGUCAGAGGUGAAAUUCUUAGAUUUGUUAAAGACAAACUAAUGCGAAAGCAUUUGCCAAGGAUGUUUUCAUUAAUCAAGAACGAAAGUUAGGGGAUCGAAGACGAUCAGAUACCGUCGUAGUCUUAA
RNAcentral lists this ribosomal RNA (358 nucleotides) under Cryptosporidium parvum. Its description in RNAcentral is "SSU rRNA". It matches the Rfam family "Eukaryotic small subunit ribosomal RNA", at positions 667 to 1029 of the family's 1831-position model. The record is from RNAcentral. Lineage: Eukaryota; Apicomplexa; Conoidasida; Eucoccidiorida; Cryptosporidiidae.